RNAcentral lists this ribosomal RNA (355 nucleotides) under Fidelibacterota bacterium. RNAcentral's name for it is "bacterial SSU rRNA". It matches the Rfam family "Bacterial small subunit ribosomal RNA", at positions 1 to 346 of the family's 1533-position model. The record is from RNAcentral. Lineage: Bacteria; Pseudomonadati; Fidelibacterota.
ACAAUGGAGAGUUUGAUCCUGGCUCAGGACGAACGCUGGCGGCGUGCUUAACACAUGCAAGUCAAGGAGAAAGGUUCCUUCGGGAAACGAGUAAACUGGCGAACGGGUGAGUAACACGUAGGUAACCUGCCCUAGAGACUGGGAUAACCCCGAGAAAUCGGAGCUAAUACUGGAUAAUGCAGCGGGUCCUUCGGGACAUUGUUGUUAAAGCGGCCUUCGGGUCGCACUUUAGGAUGGGCCUGCGUCCGAUUAGUUAGUUGGUAAGGUAAUGGCUUACCAAGGCGAUGAUCGGUAGCUGGUUUGAGAGGAUGAUCAGCCACACUGGGAUUGAGAUACGGCCCAGACUCCUACGGGA